GCACGAUUAGCUCAGUUGGUAGAGCACGCCCUUGACGUGGGCGGGGUCAGAGGUUCGAAUCCUCUAUCGUGCA
RNAcentral lists this transfer RNA (73 nucleotides) under Patescibacteria group bacterium. RNAcentral describes it as "tRNA-Val". It matches the Rfam family "tRNA". Rfam says of the family: Transfer RNA (tRNA) molecules are approximately 80 nucleotides in length. The record is from RNAcentral.